This 263-nucleotide long non-coding RNA is filed under the name Carica papaya (papaya). RNAcentral's name for it is "long non-coding RNA (CPAP_LNC004840)". Lineage: Eukaryota; Viridiplantae; Streptophyta; Magnoliopsida; Brassicales; Caricaceae. The record is from RNAcentral.
AUCAAUGGAAUCCAAAGAAAUACACGGUCGUUUGCAUGCUAGGCACGACCAUGUGUCAUUCCCCACAUAAGCCUUGCGCAAGGCUUAUAUCACCUGACAACACAUUUAAUAGUUCUCAAAAUAUGAUAUUUCCCAAUGCACCCUACCUCCAAGUCAAGUAACCAGGUGAGUUAAUCCGUCACUUUAUUUUUAUUUUUCAUUAUUUGCAUCACACUGGGGACAAUGUGUAGUUUAAGUGUGGGGAAGAGGCAUUCUGCAUUAUG